AUUAGACGAAUCAUCUGGAAAGAUGAAUCAAAGAAGGUAAUAAUCCUGUAGUCGAAAAUGUUGUCUCUCUUGAGUGGAUCCUGAGUACGACGGAGCACGUGAAAUUCCGUCGGAAUCUGGGAGGACCAUCUCCUAAGGCUAAAUACUCUCUAGUGACCGAUAGUGAACCAGUACCGUGAGGGAAAGGUGAAAAGCACCCCGGAAGGGGAGUGAAAUAGAACCUGAAACCGUGUGCUUACAAGUAGUCAGAGCCCGUUAAUGGGUGAUGGCGUGCCUUUUGUAGAAUGAACCGGCGAGUUACGAUUUGAUGCAAGGUUAAGCAGUAAAUGUGGAGCCGUAGCGAAAGCGAGUCUGAAUAGGGCGUUUAGUAUUUGGUCGUAGACCCGAAACCAGGUGAUCUACCCUUGGUCAGGUUGAAGUUCAGGUAACACUGAAUGGAGGACCGAACCGACUUACGUUGAAAAGUGAGCGGAUGAACUGAGGGUAGCGGAGAAAUUCCAAUCGAACCUGGAGAUAGCUGGUUCUCUCCGAAAUAGCUUUAGGGCUAGCCUCAAGUGAUGAUUAUUGGAGGUAGAGCACUGUUUGGACGAGGGGCCCCUCUCGGGUUACCGAAUUCAGACAAACUCCGAAUGCCAAUUAAUUUAACUUGGGAGUCAGAACAUGGGUGAUAAGGUCCGUGUUCGAAAGGGAAACAGCCCAGACCACCAGCUAAGGUCCCAAAAUAUAUGUUAAGUGGAAAAGGAUGUGGCGUUGCCCAGACAACUAGGAUGUUGGCUUAGAAGCAGCCAUCAUUUAAAGAGUGCGUAAUAGCUCACUAGUCGAGUGACACUGCGCCGAAAAUGUACCGGGGCUAAACAUAUUACCGAAGCUGUGGAUUGUCCUUUGGACAAUGGUAGGAGAGCGUUCUAAGGGCGUUGAAGCAUGAUCGUAAGGACAUGUGGAGCGCUUAGAAGUGAGA
This 958-nucleotide ribosomal RNA is filed under the name Staphylococcus aureus. RNAcentral's name for it is "partial 23S ribosomal RNA". It matches the Rfam family "Bacterial large subunit ribosomal RNA", at positions 328 to 1293 of the family's 2925-position model. Lineage: Bacteria; Bacillati; Bacillota; Bacilli; Caryophanales; Staphylococcaceae. The record is from RNAcentral.